Molecule: ribosomal RNA, 306 nt
Filed under: uncultured bacterium
Lineage: Bacteria
Description: partial 16S ribosomal RNA
Rfam family: Bacterial small subunit ribosomal RNA
Source: RNAcentral
GACAGAGUCGCCGCGGGAAUACGGAGGGGGCUAGCGUUGUUCGGAAUUACUGGGCGUAAAGCGUGCGUAGGUGGUGGUUUAAGUCCGUUGUGAAAGCCCUGGGCUCAACCCGGGAAUUGCAGUGGAUACUGGGUCACUAGAGUGUGGUAGAGGAUAGUGGAAUUUCCGGUGUAGCAGUGAAAUGCGCAGAGAUCGGCAGGAACAUCUGUGGCGAAGGCGACUAUCUGGGCCAACACUGACACUGAGGCACGAAAGCGUGGGGAGCAAACAGGAUUAGAUACCCCCGUAGUCCCUGUCUCUUAUACA